AUAAAUAUUUGGUCUCGUGCCAAAUUAACAUUUGUGUGCACUAUUGUCUGUCUUUGGUAGUUCGAGCUGCCCUCGGGGUUCAACACCUCGGGCGCCUACCUUCGGGUUGGGCUACCGCCUUUUUUUGAAAAACCUGUUUUUGUUAUUGUUUUGUCUGAACGAAGAGUUAGUCUUUAUUGAUUAAUGAUUUGAAUA
RNAcentral lists this unclassified non-coding RNA (195 nucleotides) under uncultured Chytridiomycota. Its description in RNAcentral is "sequence contains ITS1". Lineage: Eukaryota; Fungi; Chytridiomycota. The record is from RNAcentral.